This 363-nucleotide long non-coding RNA is filed under the name Homo sapiens (human). Its description in RNAcentral is "LNC_000078". Lineage: Eukaryota; Metazoa; Chordata; Mammalia; Primates; Hominidae. The record is from RNAcentral.
CAAUCCUCCCAGGGCCCCCUGCCUCCUCUACUAGGUUUCUUCCUGCUUACUUCUCAAUUCCAGGGACAUUCUGGUAGUCUUUGAGCAGCGUAGAGGGAGGUGGGUCAUCAUCCAGCCUAGACUGGGCUGGUUUCCGGACGACAUAUCCGCGCGCGGCCUGGAGGAGGAGACUUCGAGGCUGCAGGCCCCACUGGUUGAAAGGAAACUUGGCGCUCCCACCGCCCGGCAGCCCGGGUACUAGGACCUGGGUAACUGCCCGGGUCCGAAUCAAACUCAGCGUCCUCCACGCGACCCUCAGCAUGGUGACCUCUAACCCCCGCGGGGCCCGCGCCGCGGCCGCCGUUCGCUUUGCGGCACGGACCG